GAUGAAGAACGUAGCGAAAUGCGAUAAGUAAUGUGAAUUGCAGAAUUCAGUGAAUCAUCGAAUCUUUGAACGCACAUUGCGCCCGUCAGCAUUCUGGCGGGCAUGCCUGUUCGAGCGUCAUUACGCCCCUCAAGUCCCCUGUGGACUUGGUGUUGGGGAUCGGCGAGGCUGGUUUUCCAGCACAGCCGUCCCUUAAAUUAAUUGGCGGUCUCGCCGUGGCCCUCCUCUGCGCAGUAGUAAAACACUCGCAACAGGAGCCCGGCGCGGUCCACUGCCGUAAAACCCCCCAACUUUUUAUAGUUGACCUCGAAUCAGGUAGGACUACCCGCUGAACUUAAGCAUAUCAAUAAGCGGAGGA
Molecule: unclassified non-coding RNA, 358 nt
Filed under: soil metagenome
Description: partial contains 5.8S ribosomal RNA, internal transcribed spacer 2, and large subunit ribosomal RNA
Rfam family: 5.8S ribosomal RNA (bases 1-120)
Source: RNAcentral